GGUUUAAUUCGAUGCAACGCGAAGAACCUUACCUGGGCUUGACAUCCCGGGAAUCCCCUGGAAACAGGGGAGUGCCCUUGGGAACCCGGUGACAGGUGCUGCAUGGCUGUCGUCAGCUCGUGUCGUGAGAUGUUGGGUUAAGUCCCGCAACGAGCGCAACCCUUGUCUUUAAUUGCCAUCAUUUAGUUGGGCACUUUAAAGAGACUGCCGGUGUUAAGCCGGAGGAAGGUGGGGAUGACGUCAAGUCCUCAUGGCCUUUAUGACCAGGGCUACACACGUACUACAAUGGCAGGUACAAAGGGCAGCCACUUAGCGAUAAGGCGCGAAUCCCAUAAAACCUGUCUCAGUCCGGAUUGGAGUCUGCAACUCGACUCCAUGAAGUUGGAAUCGCUAGUAAUCGCAGAUCAGCACGCUGCGGUGAAUACGUUCCCGGGCCUU
Molecule: ribosomal RNA, 438 nt
Filed under: uncultured Desulfocapsa sp.
Lineage: Bacteria; Pseudomonadati; Thermodesulfobacteriota; Desulfobulbia; Desulfobulbales; Desulfocapsaceae
Description: bacterial SSU rRNA
Rfam family: Bacterial small subunit ribosomal RNA
Source: RNAcentral